UACGGGGGGGGCGAGCGUUGUCCGGAAUCAUUGGGCGUAAAGGGCGCGUAGGCGGGAUCGCAAGUCAGAGGUGAAAACCAUGGGCUUAACUCAUGGCCUGCCUUUGAAACUACGAUUCUUGAGUGCGGUAGAGGGAAGCGGAAUUCCUGGUGUAGCGGUGAAAUGCGUAGAUAUCAGGAAGAACACCGGUAGCGAAGGCGGCUUCCUGGGCCGUAACUGACGCUGAGGCGCGAAAGUGUGGGGAGCAAACAGG
This 253-nucleotide ribosomal RNA is filed under the name uncultured bacterium. Its description in RNAcentral is "partial 16S ribosomal RNA". It matches the Rfam family "Bacterial small subunit ribosomal RNA", at positions 524 to 776 of the family's 1533-position model. The record is from RNAcentral.